RNAcentral lists this ribosomal RNA (428 nucleotides) under Boophis aff. boehmei MV-2005. Its description in RNAcentral is "partial 16S ribosomal RNA". It matches the Rfam family "Bacterial large subunit ribosomal RNA", at positions 1922 to 2510 of the family's 2925-position model. Lineage: Eukaryota; Metazoa; Chordata; Amphibia; Anura; Mantellidae. The record is from RNAcentral.
AUUUAACGGCCACGGUACCCUAACCGUGCAAAGGUAGCAUAAUCACUUGUUCUUUAAAUGAGGACUAGUAUCAACGGCAUCACGAGGAUCCUACUGUCUCCCCCCUCUAAUCAGUGAAACUGAUCUCCCCGUGAAGAAGCGGGGAUAUACAUAUAAGACGAGAAGACCCCAUGGAGCUUUAAACCUGACAGCACCCGCUCAUUCUAUACCCCAUUAUUUGCCCGACCCCUGUCUGCUCAGUUUUAGGUUGGGGUGACCACGGAGUAUAAAGUAACCUCCAUGAAGAAGGGGAUAUUUCCCUUAUUAGAGAACCACACUUCCAAGAACUAAUAAAUUAAUUUUCAAUGACCCGAUACCCGAUAAUCGAUCAACGAACCAAGUUACCCUGGGGAUAACAGCGCAAUCCACCCUGAAAGCCCUUAUUAACA